GAGACUGGGGACCAGCACUGAGUAUCGGGAGGUCAGCGCCCUGGUGGGAAAGGCUGAGAGUCGGCUCCACACUAAGGCUAGAUGGGAUGUGCUUGCCCCUGGGAUGGGAGGGACAUACUAGGAGCUGAGCCCCACGCCUGAGCCGAGGAAGAGAAGGGCCUGAGCCAGAGGCGGGGGUGGGUGACGGCGGGGCAGGGGUAUGAAAUAUAUUCUUGGAUGAGGGGAGGGUGCCCAAUCCUCAGAGCCCCAGGGUUGGGCCUCCAUGCAGGAUGGAGGGCUCUGAGCUCUGGGAUGGGACAAAGGGCUCAGAAUCCACAAAACCAUUCUGAUGGGGGUGCUGUGCUUCGAGUCCAGAAUGGAAUGGGAGGGCCCACGAGCCCCGGAGGGGACUGCGGGCUCCGAGCUGGCGAGGGAGGUCAAGGCAGUCUCGGGUGUAGGAGCUCCAAGCACAGGGUGUUGGGGGCAAGUCUCAGAGCUUUGGCCUUUAAGAACAGAGUCUCUGUGUGAGCCCUGAGGUGGGGAACGGACUUUUAGUGGUUCAGGAGGGAGGUUUCGGAAACUAGGGUAGGCGGGCGGGGUUUCUGUAUUCGGACCGGCUAUCUCUGGGUCUUUGACGGUAGGAGCUCUCGGAGGCGGGAACGAGAGGGUACGGCUUAGUGCCUCCGAGUCAGGGGAAGGUCUCAGAGCUCGGGGCUCGCGGGCGUCUCAUCUCCACGGUUUCGGGCCAGGCAGGGGCAGCUCAGAGCCCCGAGCCCGGGGAGGUGGCGCGGGAGCCCGCGGGCGCGGCAGGCGCGGGCGCGCGGCGCGGGUCGGCGUCCUGCUCGUAGCGGUAGUGGUAGCCCUCCAUCUGGUCCCGGCACGCCUCGCGCAGGUUGCGCAUCCAGCGCUGGAUGCCGCGGCGGUUUAGGUAGAGCACCAUGAGGAAGAUGAGGCCGAUGAGCGCCAGCACCAGCCCGAAAAACACGUAGGAGGCUUCCAGCUCCGGGCCGGCGGCCUCCGCCUCCUCUCCGCGAGCGUCAGCGCCGCUCUCCGCGCAGCGCAGCCGAGCCCCGUCCAGGUCCAGCAGCGGCCGGUCCAGCAGCGCCCGCGGGCGGCGCAGCGCAGGCGUCGCGCGUCGGGCACGCGCUCCGUGGCGUUGCGCAGCCAGGCCAGUAGGGGGCGCGCGGCGCAGCCGCAGCGCAGGGGUUGUCCGCGAGCAGCAGGCGCGGCCCGGGGAGGCCGCCAUCGCGCUCCAGCGCGCGCAGCUCGUCGGGGCCCAGGCCGGCCAACCCGUUGAGGCUCACGUCCAGCUGCUCCAGGCGCGCCAGGCGCAGCGCGGCUGGCGGCAGACGGCUCAGCGCGUUGCCCGCCAGGCCCAGCAGGCGAAGCUCGGCCAGCGGGGCCAGCGCAGCGUCCAGCGCGGCCAGCAGCGCGGGGCCGCCCCGUACCAGCGCGUGGUUGAGCUGCAGCGAGCGCAGCGCGGGCAGCCCGCGGAAGGCGCCACCGCCCAAGGCGCGCAGCGGGUUGUGGCUGAGGUCGAGCGCCGCCAGGCUGGGCAACCCGUCGAAGGCGCCGUCCUCCACCACCUCAAUGUGGUUGUGCGUGAGGCGCAGCGCGCUCAGGAGCGGCAGGCGCACGCCCGCCGCCUGGUCGCCGUCCUCGUCCGCAUCCCCGCCGGCGAAGGCGGCCGCGCGCAGCACCGUCAGGGGCACCCCCAACACUUAAUUAAGCCUCGAUCUUCAGGCAAGAAAGUCUGUGAUAUGAAUGAAGGGGUAAGUUUGUGGAAAUAGCAUUGGGGUAGAAGCCAGGAGCCAUGAAUUCAAGCCAGCUUUGCCAUAAGCUUGCUGUGUGACCUUGGGCAAGUCCCUUUCCCUCUCUGUUUUAAAGGUUUUCCACUAUAGCACAUUAGCACUGAACUCAGCAUCUGAUAUUGUCUAGUCCAAUAUACAUCUUGCAAAUGGAAAAACAGGCUCAGAAAGAAAGGGCACAUGACCUGUUCUAGAUCAUAUCUGGAUUAGUGGCAAAGCUAGGACUAAACUAAACUUCUUGACUUCCAUUUUAGGGAUUUCUCUACCCAACCACCACAUUUCAGCCUUCAUUCACAGCCUCUGUAUAUCUCAGAGACAGCUUCAUCUCCCAUUUUCAUUCCCUAGGAAGAAACGUGUGAAUCUUCCAAGUGUUCUGUUUGUUUUACUGAUUCAUGCCUGGGUGGGGGCUGGGCAGGCAGUAUUUAAGAGCAAGCAUUCCCAGCCUGACGGAGUUAAUUAUGUUCAUCAGGAAGGGAGAAGAGAAAGGAACAAGGCGCUCUGGUUAUCUACUGGGCUUUAAUCAAAUUGAGAAGAGAGGAAAUCCAUCACCCAGAGGCUGAGGGAGGUGGAGACCUUGGCUUCCGCUGGCUCCGCGUCCUGUAAUGGGUUGGGCGCUGUCCAAGGUGCUGACAUCUUCACUUACUGCUCUGAGUUGCUGGGAGGAGCUGGGAGAGGCCCCCUCCUGGCCAAGGGACAUCAGCUCUUAGAAGAGGGUCCAGAAGAGACUUAGAGAGGGUGUGGGCAUGUUGGGAGAGGCUCGAGUUCCUACUCUGCCUCCUGAACCUUUUCUUUUCCGUAUAUUUGUCUAUCUGCUUUAAGAAAAAUAUUUCUUCUUAUGGCCAGAGUCCUGGGUUGGGAUAGAGGGAGGGAAUACACAGACUCCUUGCUGUCAGGGAGAGGGGCCCGAGCCUGAGGGUGGAGGUACAGUCCUUGAGGACUUCCAUAUCUUUUUUUUUUUUUUUUUGACUUAGUAUUGCUCUGUCGCCAGGCUGGAGUGCAGUGGCACAAUCUCAGCUCACUGCAACCUCUGCAUCCCGUGUUUAAGCGAUUCCCCUGCCUCAGCCUCCCGAGUAGCUGGGACUACAGGCGCACACCACCACGCCUGUCUAAUUUUUUGUAUUGUAGUAGAGAUGGGGUUUCACCAUGUUGGCCACGAUGGUCUCAAUCUCCUGACUUCAGGUGAUCUGCCCUUCAGCCUCUCAAAGUGCUGGGAUUACA
RNAcentral lists this long non-coding RNA (3005 nucleotides) under Macaca fascicularis (crab-eating macaque). Its description in RNAcentral is "lncRNA (ENSMFAG00000058637.1)". The record is from RNAcentral. Lineage: Eukaryota; Metazoa; Chordata; Mammalia; Primates; Cercopithecidae.